Onychostoma macrolepis is the source of this 803-nucleotide non-coding RNA. The record is from the annotation of a RefSeq genome assembly. NCBI's taxonomy places the organism in Eukaryota, Metazoa, Chordata, Actinopteri, Cypriniformes, Cyprinidae.
UCUCUCUGGACAGUGACAGUAUUUAUUACUGUACCUUAUUACAUACUUCUUUAAUUCAGAAUUUCAAUCUUCUUGUACAAGUUACUGUAUAAUUUACUAGGUCAAAAAUUCUGUAAGCUCUUUUUUUUUACAUUACAGUACAGUGCAUACAGUACAGUACAUGAUGAAUUAUGAGAUAUUAUAGGAAAAAGUGAUCUCACAUGCAUUCUCCAGAAGGUGGAGCUCCAGGAACCAUCCUAGUUCAGUCUCAGUUCAGUUGUUUAAAAACAGAGCAGACAUACACGGAGUCAGUCAUACUCAGAGAGAAAACUGGAAGUCUUGAUUCUCCAAGUUAUUGUCUUUCAUUAUUGUAGAUGUUGCCCCUUGUAUUUAUUAUAUUUUCUCUCCUAAAAGAGAAUGCUGGUGAAGAUGUCAUAAAACCAGUCUUGACACAUAAGCAUGUUUUGGAAGGAAAAGCUGUUACACUGAUCUGCAGCUACACUGGCACUGUUCAGAGUUUACAGUGGUAUCGUCAGUAUCCCGGAUCCAAACCUGAGCACCUCAUCUUGUUCUAUGAGACCAUCCCCAAAUCAGAGCCCGCUCUCCGUCUGACCGCUGCAGCUGAUAAAGCAGCCAAAAGUAUGAAUCUGACCAUCUCUUCUACAGAAAUGAAAGACUCUGCCGUGUACUAUUGUGCCCUGGAGCCCACAGUGACAGGAAACACAACUGCACUGUACAAAAACAGAGUGAGAAAGGAUAUUUAAGACAGUAGAUGAUGAUGAUGCACAAUGCAGAUUUUAAAACUACACUCUUUAUAAACUGGA